Non-coding RNA from Ciona intestinalis (vase tunicate), 1798 nucleotides. The record is from RefSeq and is a predicted model, not a curated record. NCBI's taxonomy places the organism in Eukaryota, Metazoa, Chordata, Ascidiacea, Phlebobranchia, Cionidae.
GUUAAAACAUUUAUAAAAUGUUUUUAAUAAGUGUUUAUGCUAGCCAAAAAAUAAAAAAAACUAUUUUGUUUAUAGAUAGCACAGUUUAUAAGAUGCUGAGUCAAAAUCGCUUCUAAGUUUCUUUUUGUGUUGUGGCUCUAGACUUGAUUUAAAUAACAUUAUUAGCCCGUUCACAUGGCCAAACGAAAAAGAGACUUUUUGUAAAAAGGCUGGGCCAAAAAAAGAGGCAUUAUUUGGCCAAAAUUGGCGUGCGUUUACAUGGCCAUUCAGCACCGUUUUUUAUUAUUUAGUUCGCAUGUGGGACUUCCCCGUGAACGUAACUUUUUGGUUUAGUAUGAUAUUGGAAUCAAGUUUGAGCAAUAUGGAUAGUAAUUUUUCUGUUGCAAUUUAUCGAAGAACCAUGUUAAAGUUAGUACGGCAAAGAAGAAAAAUGAUACUAGGUUGGAAACAAAAGAGCUAGGAGACGGAAAUUUUGUAUUUUGUUAAUUAAAACUACUUUUGUUUUGCUUAAGAGAGCACAACGUUUUUGGAUGCUGCAAAGGUGAGUUUAUUUAUACCUAAGUUUGUGUUUACAGUCCGACAUUAAACAUUUUAAGGUCAUCGCGGUGGUGGGAGUUCGUUAGCAAUAACUACACUGAUGAGUUCUGAUUUAAGGAUUUUAGAUUAUCAAAAAACACCUUUAAUCAAAUUGUUGACAUGGUGAGAACUGAAUUAAGACCAGAUGAAAGGUCUGUUCGACAACCAAUUCCUGUGGAAAAAGUGGUUGCUAUAGCAUUGUUUCAAGGUCUUCUGGUGAAUACAGAACAACCGGAAUUGUUUUUGGAGUUUCUAAAGCUUCAGUUCACAAAUGUUUGCAUAGGUAUGCCAUAUUGCGGUUGCUCCACCGAGUCAUGGUUAUGCUGACUACAUAAAUUGCAAAAUGUUUCCUUCUAUAGUUCUCCAAGCUGUGGUUGACGGACAGUACAGGUGAUUAUUUAAAAUAUUUUAAUGAAGAAAAAAAAAUAUGUUACCAGAUUUUGUUUACAGAUUUCUAAACAUUAAUGCGUGUAUGCCGGGAUCGAGUCAUGAUGCUGCAGUAUUAUAAGCAAUCGAGCAUAUACAGAAUGGCACAAUCUGUAUUGCCUGUAGUAAGUAUAAAUUGUUUGCAGAAUGUUAUGGAAGUUCACAUUCAUUUCAAGUGUAAUUGCCGGGAUCCAUAUUUAUAAAUGAUGUAGAGAUUCCAUUAAUAAUUGCUGGGGAUGCAGCAUAUCCACUUCUUCCUUGGCUAAUGAAACCAUAUGUGGGAACCAACUUGACAGAUCAACAAAUGUCAUUCAACUGUUACCACAGCAGUUCCAGGAUUGUGGUUGAAAAUGCCUUUGGAAGAUUGAAGGCAAGGUGGAGAAUCUUGCAAAAACCUAUUCCUGUUGCUGCAGCUCCUAUGGUACUUACUGCUUGCUGUAUUCUCCACAAUAUAUGUGAAAACCAGCAAAUGCCAGACCCACCAGAAUUUAAUGUAGUGCAAGAAAAUGCUGUACCCAAUGCUACAAUAAGCCGAAAUGAGCGAAGCUUGGUUCGCGACACAAUUUGUAAAUUUCUAUCUGACAAUUACCCAUUGAGAACAAGUUCUCGUUUUUGAAUUUUAUUGAAAAGGACAAUUUUGUGAAAAAACAGUACGAUGAACUUAAAAUGUAAAAACUGAGGUAACAAAUGAAAAGAAAUGUACUUGAAAAAACAGUGCGAAACAUGUAAAUGCAGCGAAAGAAAGUGAAAACUGUAAAAAUGUAUCUACAUUAGAAUGAGCUUAUUCAUUCGGAGU